CCCGGGACUGGGUAUAAUACCCGAUAGGUCUCGAUUGCUGGAAUGCAUCGAGAUUUAAAGCUCCGGCGCCUAAGGAUGGGUCUGCGGCCUAUCAGGUAGUAGUGGGUGUAGCGUACCUACUAGCCUACGACGGGUACGGGUUGUGAGAGCAAGAGCCCGGAGAUGGAUUCUGAGACACGAAUCCAGGCCCUACGGGGUGCAGCAGGCGCGAAAACUUUACAAUGCUGGCAACAGCGAUAAGGGAACCUCGAGUGCCAGGUUACAAAUCUGGCUGUCGAGAUGCCUAAAAAGCAUUUCAUAGCAAGGGCCGGGCAAGACCGGUGCCAGCCGCCGCGGUAACACCGGCGGCUCGAGUGGUAACCGUUAUUAUUGGGUCUAAAGGGUCUGUAGCCGGCCGGAUAAGUCUCUUGAGAAAUCUGGCAGCUUAACUGUCAGGCUUUCAU
Molecule: ribosomal RNA, 443 nt
Filed under: Methanothrix soehngenii
Lineage: Archaea; Methanobacteriati; Methanobacteriota; Methanomicrobia; Methanotrichales; Methanotrichaceae
Description: bacterial SSU rRNA
Rfam family: Archaeal small subunit ribosomal RNA
Source: RNAcentral